AGCCUGUGUGCCACACUCUUCCUGUACAUCCAUAUCUACCAACAUACCACAAAAAUCAUGAAUACCCCAAAAUAUAUCUAUUAACUAACAAUUAUUAAUGCAUUACAAGGAAAAAUAUUGCACCUGAGUCCAUUACUUAAGUAAAAUGCACGUUAUUCUGACUGCAAUUUCCAGAAGACAGAAUAACAAGAGCAUGUCUUCUGCAACCUUAGGCACAACAACCAAAAAAGCAGUAAAUUAGAAGUAACAUAUUAACAACAACCAAAGAUAAUAUAGUAUUCUAAAACUAAGGCAGUAUUCUGCAAAGAUAUACAACCAAAGAUAAUACAGUAUUAGCAAAUCAGAAAAUUUUUUAAAGAUAACAUAGUUCCAUGUAUUAGUAGUUGACGAUAGCCUCAUUGACAGAAAGUUGAUUGAGAGACUCCUCAAAACUUGCAGGUAAAUUGCUUCACUGAGAUAACUGUAUGUCAUAAAAUUGUAAUUUUUUUUAUCACGCUUCCAAUUUUGAAGGCAUAUAUUUUUGUCAGGAUCCUAAUACUUUAGUCCAACUGUAUUCACACUCUGCCAUUCCUAUCUUUAAUGCCAUCUUUGUGUUCUGCUCUUUGGACAGAUUGAAGAGGCAGAUAUAUUUAAAGAAACCAAACAGUAUACUUAUAAAGAUGGUUCCAGUAUGUCUUUAUGGACUUGGUAUACUAUUUUCUGUUUUGAUCUUCAUAUGACUGCGUCAAUAGUAGAUACUCUUUUCAAGUAACUUUAUCCUCUUUGAGAAUAUUAAGGCAACUAUCAAAGCAUCGUCAUUACUCAUAAUAGAGAAAGUGGUGAAAAAGGCUCACUAUCAUGCUAUGCUACACCUCUGCUCUAUUUUAACAUUACAAGUUUAUCUCUUCAUUCCACUGCUGGCUUAUGAGCAUGUUUGGGGCGCCUUAGGCUUAAAAAUAAGCACCACAUGUGUUGUUAGAUAUUUUUCAUCAUUUUGCAUGUGUUUGAUUUUUUGUUUUGCGAAUGAUUUGCUGCCCGGAUUAGUGUUUGCUGCUGCGCAACGCCCCGAAAGAGAAUUUUAUUUUCAAAAGUUUUUGAAUAGGUGCAUCUGUUUAUUUUUUAACAGUCACUUCCAAUAGCUGUACGCAAUGAUUUCAAGGGAUACACAUAUUCAAACAGUUGCCUCAAAACAGUGGCUUACAUUUAGUGGAUCCACCUACAUUCAAAUAAGCCACACAUUUGGAGCUUAUUUUUUAGCUUCAGCCAUCCCAAACAUGCUCUAUUUCACAUUGUUCUAUGUUGGAAGGAGUAAAACACUGUCAAAGCUGGAUAUCUUUCAGCAGAAUCAAUUUUAGACAUUUAGACCAACAUAAGCCAGGUGUUCAAGCUCAGACAUAGGUUGCGAGUUCAAAUUUUACCUUUAUUCCAUGUCCAUUUAAAUUUAAAAACAAAUUUCUGCUAUCAGACUAAAUCCACCUUCUGAAUCUCAAACACAAUGCAACAAAUCUAGAACUGAUUUUUGAACCCGGAGAAACACAGUUAACUCGUAAAUGUACUCAAGGAGUCAAGGUAGCAACAACGUAAAUCUACUCAUAAAUCUACUCAGAUCUGCAUAGUUAACUCGUAAAUCACUCAUAAACACAGUUACACAACUUAUACUGACAACCUACGUGUGGAGAACAGGAGAAAGUGUUCGAAAUCGAAGAAAUACACUUACCCCACCCGUGGACAACCUAGACAAAACGAUGACCAGCAAGGUAGCAAGCCAGCAUCUGGAUCGGCGUCGGCAAUUUGGGUCGGUGACGGGAGGAGAUAAGGCGACAGAGAAGUGAGGUUCUCUCUGUAGUAUGUUGAUUAUUUAGGGCUUUUUUCCAUUUUCAGUUUUAAGUAGCGUUUUGUUGUUUUUUUUUUCGUUUUUUUUAUUCGGUCGGGUCGGGUCGGGUCGGUUUUGAGAUGCCAACCCGCAACCUGACCCAACCCGAACCGACUGUUCAGAACAUGGACCGAAAACCACCCUUAAAAAAUAAAAAACCGACCCAACCCGGUCGAUUCGGGUCGGUCGGAUCGAUCGGGCUGGGUCGGUUUUUGCCCACCCCUAAUUCUAGCUCAACCUCUACUGUAGUAUAUCAGAAGAUAUCAAUAUAAUGUACUUUAAAAUCUAGUGGCAUCAUUAAUGGCAAGAGUUAGAGAAAUUCCAAUAUGUCAACCAAUAUGAGAACCGCCUACGCUACAUCCGCCGAUGCUGAAAGUGCAACCCCUAUUUCGUACUCGCAAAUGAUGAAUAUUUUGCUAUCUAGGUGUGGACGUGGUUCCAUUUGGUUCCAAUUUUAAGAUAACCAACCGAACCAUGAACCAAUGAAUUUUUGGAUAAUGGAACCAAAUGAUUUUUGUUUAGAUAUGGAACCAAACCAAACCGAACUGAAUUAUUCACUUUUGGUUUGGUUUGAUUUUACUUUUAUUUCUUAAAUUUUCAGACUUACACCAUACACAUAAGUUAUUAAUGCAUGCCUAAUGAAAAAUAAUAAGCAUCAAACAAUAAGGGUGUAUUUUCUUUGUUGUUUUCAGAUCGUUUUCUGUUUUCGAUUUUUCAAAACGAUGAAAACACGUUCUCUUUCCUGUUUUAGAAAAAUGCGUUUUUGAAAAAAAAAAAAAAAUUGUCCUGAAAACACAAAAUGAUGUUUUUAUCAUUUUGGAUGUUUUUUGUGCAAAAAUUAAAAAAAUUCUCCCUUCUCUGCUCGUUUCCCUCUUCUGGAAGUGGUUGGAUUCCUUCUUUUCCUUCGCUGGCUAUGGAUGCCCAUCUAUGUUGGCGGUCGAACGGAGAUAAGCUGCAGUUCCUCGCAACGUGGUUGAUGGAGGCGACCUAUUCAUCGCUGAAUUCGUUUGUUGAGCGCAAGUUUGAUGUGUCGAAUUUCUGCUGUAGAUUUCGAUUUUCUAUGUUGUUUGUUGUUAUAAUACCAUGUAUGGACGUGCCUUGCUGAGCUUGAUUGACCUGUGGGGUGUAAUUAACAUGGGCAGCAACUGGGUUGGUCGAAUUUGGUAGAAAAUCGCGCGUGAGUGGAUGUUUUUAGACGGUAAUUGGCUUGAUUUUGUUGUCAGUUGGGGUUGUUGUUUGUGUAGAGUUGGUGGGGAUUGAUGAGGAGAUGGUGUUGGUGCAAAAAUCUGGUGGCGAUGGCUAAAAGUUGAGUAGUGGUCGGUUUGUGAGGUUGAAUACGGCAUCUCAUGGUGGCUAGAGAAG
Molecule: long non-coding RNA, 3214 nt
Filed under: Olea europaea (common olive)
Lineage: Eukaryota; Viridiplantae; Streptophyta; Magnoliopsida; Lamiales; Oleaceae
Description: long non-coding RNA (OEUR_LNC008664)
Source: RNAcentral